This is a non-coding RNA of Schizosaccharomyces pombe (fission yeast), 185 nucleotides long. The record is from the annotation of a GenBank genome assembly. Lineage: Eukaryota; Fungi; Ascomycota; Schizosaccharomycetes; Schizosaccharomycetales; Schizosaccharomycetaceae.
GUAUAAAUUUAUUAAAUAUGCUUAGUAACUGUCUACGGCCACACCUAGGCGAAAACACCAGUUCCCGUCCGAUCACUGCAGUUAAGCGUCUGAGGGCCUCGUUAGUACUAUGGUUGGAGACAACAUGGGAAUCCGGGGUGCUGUAGGCUCCUUUCUUUUUUUUUCGGAAUAUUAUUUUAUUCUUA